UGGGGAAUAUUGCACAAUGGAGGGAACUCUGAUGCAGCGACGCCGCGUGAACGAAGAAGGCUUUCGAGUCGUAAAGCUCUGUCCUAUGAGAAGAUAAUGACGGUAUCAUAGGAGGAAGCCCUGGCUAAAUACGUGCCAGCAGCCGCGGUAAUACGUAUGGGGCGAGCGUUGUCCGGAAUUAUUGGGCGUAAAGGGUACGUAGGCGGUUUUUUAAGUCAGGUGUCAAAGCGUGGAGCUUAACUCCAUUAAGCACUUGAAACUGAAAGACUUGAGUGAAGGAGAGGAAAGUGGAAUUCCUAGUGUAGCGGUGAAAUGCGUAGAUAUUAGGAGGAAUACCGGUGGCGAAGGCGACUUUCUGGACUUUUACUGACGCUCAGGUACGAAAGCGUGGGGAGCAAACAGG
This 403-nucleotide ribosomal RNA is filed under the name Verrucomicrobiota bacterium. RNAcentral describes it as "Verrucomicrobia bacterium partial 16S ribosomal RNA". It matches the Rfam family "Bacterial small subunit ribosomal RNA", at positions 355 to 776 of the family's 1533-position model. Lineage: Bacteria; Pseudomonadati; Verrucomicrobiota. The record is from RNAcentral.